UAGGGAAUCUUCGGCAAUGGACGAAAGUCUGACCGAGCAACGCCGCGUGAGUGAAGAAGGUUUUCGGAUCGUAAAACUCUGUUGUUAGAGAAGAACAAGGACGUUAGUAACUGAACGUCCCCUGACGGUAUCUAACCAGAAAGCCACGGCUAACUACGUGCCAGCAGCCGCGGUAAUACGUAGGUGGCAAGCGUUGUCCGGAUUUAUUGGGCGUAAAGCGAGCGCAGGCGGUUUCUUAAGUCUGAUGUGAAAGCCCCCGGCUCAACCGGGGAGGGUUAUUGGAAACUGGGAGACUUGAGUGCAGAAGAGGAGAGUGGAAUUCCAUGUGUAGCGGUGAAAUGCGUAGAUAUAUGGAGGAACACCAGUGGCGAAGGCGGCUCUAUGGUCUGUAACUGACGCUGAGGCUAGAAAGCGUGGGGAGCAAACAGG
RNAcentral lists this ribosomal RNA (429 nucleotides) under Gemmatimonadota bacterium. Its description in RNAcentral is "Gemmatimonadetes bacterium partial 16S ribosomal RNA". It matches the Rfam family "Bacterial small subunit ribosomal RNA", at positions 355 to 776 of the family's 1533-position model. The record is from RNAcentral. Lineage: Bacteria; Pseudomonadati; Gemmatimonadota.